UUUCCUAGCCAAAGUUUACCUUAGGCACUCUUGAACCAAAUUUCUCAAAGGGAACUAAAGUUGAAAUUAAAGUUGACACACAUUAAGCUAUCACAAUUAAAGAAAGCAAAUAAACUAGCUAUGCGGCCUAAUGAUUAAGUUAGAAGAACUUUGGUUCAUCCAACCAACCAACUAAAAAUGAAAAUUACUAAUAAAUAAAGGUUCUUGUUAAGAUAUGGGAUUGAGCACCAAAUACUCCCCCAAGACACCUAACAAGGCCAUGAGUUACAAGUGAAAAAAAAAAAGAAAAAGAAAGAAAGAAAGAUUACAAAGCCAAAAAUUACAACCAAAUUAAAGCUACCUCCCCAGGUGUUUCUCUCCUUUCUUUUGGCUACCAUUCUAGACUUCAAGCUCCCUUUGGG
RNAcentral lists this long non-coding RNA (401 nucleotides) under Vigna radiata. RNAcentral's name for it is "long non-coding RNA (VRAD_LNC010329)". The record is from RNAcentral. Lineage: Eukaryota; Viridiplantae; Streptophyta; Magnoliopsida; Fabales; Fabaceae.